Molecule: ribosomal RNA, 465 nt
Filed under: Vreelandella stevensii
Lineage: Bacteria; Pseudomonadati; Pseudomonadota; Gammaproteobacteria; Oceanospirillales; Halomonadaceae
Description: partial 16S ribosomal RNA
Rfam family: Bacterial small subunit ribosomal RNA
Source: RNAcentral
CCUACGGGGGUCAGCAGUGGGGAAUAUUGGACAAUGGGCGAAAGCCUGAUCCAGCCAUGCCGCGUGUGUGAAGAAGGCCUUCGGGUUGUAAAGCACUUUCAGUGGGGAAGAAAGCCUUGGGGCUAAUACCCUCGAGGAAGGACAUCACCCACAGAAGAAGCACCGGCUAACUCCGUGCCAGCAGCCGCGGUAAUACGGAGGGUGCGAGCGUUAAUCGGAAUUACUGGGCGUAAAGCGCGCGUAGGCGGUCUGAUAAGCCGGUUGUGAAAGCCCCGGGCUCAACCUGGGAACGGCAUCCGGAACUGUCAGGCUAGAGUGCAGGAGAGGAAGGUAGAAUUCCCGGUGUAGCGGUGAAAUGCGUAGAGAUCGGGAGGAAUACCAGUGGCGAUGGCGGCCUUCUGGACUGACACUGACGCUGAGGUGCGAAAGCGUGGGUAGCAAACAGGAUUAGAUACCCGAGUAGUC